This 1419-nucleotide ribosomal RNA is filed under the name Vibrio parahaemolyticus. Its description in RNAcentral is "bacterial SSU rRNA". It matches the Rfam family "Bacterial small subunit ribosomal RNA". Lineage: Bacteria; Pseudomonadati; Pseudomonadota; Gammaproteobacteria; Vibrionales; Vibrionaceae. The record is from RNAcentral.
GCAGUCGAGCGGAAACGAGUUAUCUGAACCUUCGGGGAACGAUAACGGCGUCGAGCGGCGGACGGGUGAGUAAUGCCUAGGAAAUUGCCCUGAUGUGGGGGAUAACCAUUGGAAACGAUGGCUAAUACCGCAUGAUGCCUACGGGCCAAAGAGGGGGACCUUCGGGCCUCUCGCGUCAGGAUAUGCCUAGGUGGGAUUAGCUAGUUGGUGAGGUAAGGGCUCACCAAGGCGACGAUCCCUAGCUGGUCUGAGAGGAUGAUCAGCCACACUGGAACUGAGACACGGUCCAGACUCCUACGGGAGGCAGCAGUGGGGAAUAUUGCACAAUGGGCGCAAGCCUGAUGCAGCCAUGCCGCGUGUGUGAAGAAGGCCUUCGGGUUGUAAAGCACUUUCAGUCGUGAGGAAGGUAGUGUAGUUAAUAGCUGCAUUAUUUGACGUUAGCGACAGAAGAAGCACCGGCUAACUCCGUGCCAGCAGCCGCGGUAAUACGGAGGGUGCGAGCGUUAAUCGGAAUUACUGGGCGUAAAGCGCAUGCAGGUGGUUUGUUAAGUCAGAUGUGAAAGCCCGGGGCUCAACCUCGGAAUUGCAUUUGAAACUGGCAGACUAGAGUACUGUAGAGGGGGGUAGAAUUUCAGGUGUAGCGGUGAAAUGCGUAGAGAUCUGAAGGAAUACCGGUGGCGAAGGCGGCCCCCUGGACAGAUACUGACACUCAGAUGCGAAAAGCGUGGGGAGCAAACAGGAUUAGAUACCCUGGUAGUCCACGCCGUAAACGAUGUCUACUUUGGAGGUUGUGGCCUUGAGCCGUGGCUUUCGGAGCUAACGCGUUAAGUAGACCGCCUGGGGGAGUACGGUCGCAAGAUUAAAACUCAAAUGAAUUGACGGGGGCCCGCACAAGCGGUGGAGCAUGUGGUUUAAUUCGAUGCAACGCGAAGAACCUUACCUACUCUUGACAUCCAGAGAACUUUCCAGAGAUGGAUUGGUGCCUUCGGGAACUUCUGAGACAGGUGCUGCAUGGCUGUCGUCAGCUCGUGUUGUGAAAUGUUGGGUUAAGUCCCGCAACGAGCGCAACCCUUAUCCUUGUUUGCCAGCGAGUAAUGUCGGGAACUCCAGGGAGACUGCCGGUGAUAAACCGGAGGAAGGUGGGGACGACGUCAAGUCAUCAUGGCCCUUACGAGUAGGGCUACACACGUGCUACAAUGGCGCAUACAGAGGGCAGCCAACUUGCGAAAGUGAGCGAAUCCCAAAAAGUGCGUCGUAGUCCGGAUUGGAGUCUGCAACUCGACUCCAUGAAGUCGGAAUCGCUAGUAAUCGUGGAUCAGAAUGCCACGGUGAAUACGUUCCCGGGCCUUGUACACACCGCCCGUCACACCAUGGGAGUGGGCUGCAAAAGAAGUAGGUAGUUUAACCUUCGGGGGGACG